UACGUAGGGGGCGAGCGUUGUCCGGAUUCAUUGGGCGUAAAGCGCGCGUAGGCGGCUUCGUAAGUCGGCCGUGAAAUCUCCAGGCUUAACUUGGAGGGGUCGGGCGAGACUGCGGAGCUCGAGGUGGGCAGAGGGCAGUGGAAUUCCGGGUGUAGUGGUGGAAUGCGUAGAGAUCCGGAGGAACACCAGUGGCGAAGGCGUUCUGCUGGGCCGUUGCUGACACUGAGGCGCGACAGCGUGGGGAGCAAACAGG
RNAcentral lists this ribosomal RNA (253 nucleotides) under uncultured bacterium. RNAcentral describes it as "partial 16S ribosomal RNA". It matches the Rfam family "Bacterial small subunit ribosomal RNA", at positions 524 to 776 of the family's 1533-position model. The record is from RNAcentral.